GUGACCUCAAAUCAGGUAGGACUACCCGCUGAACUUAAGCAUAUCAAUAAGCGGAGGAAAAGAACUAACAAGGAUUCCCCUAGUAACUGCGAGUGAAGCGGGAAAAAGCUCAAUUUAANNAUCUGCAGUCUUUCGCUGUCCCGAGUGUAUCUAGAGAAAGUGUAUCGCGCUGNACCGUGUACNAGUCUCCUGNAAUGNAGCAUCAUAGAGGGUGAGAAUCCCGUCUUUGACAUGACUGCCAGGCUUUGUGAGCCUCUCAAGGAGCGAGUUGUUU
Molecule: ribosomal RNA, 274 nt
Filed under: uncultured Cortinarius
Lineage: Eukaryota; Fungi; Basidiomycota; Agaricomycetes; Agaricales; Cortinariaceae
Description: partial 28S ribosomal RNA
Rfam family: Eukaryotic large subunit ribosomal RNA
Source: RNAcentral